CGGAGGGCUAGCGUUAUUCGGAAUUACUGGGCGUAAAGCGCACGUAGGCGGACCAGAAGUUAGGGGUGAAAUCCCGGGGCUCAACCUCGGAACUGCCUCUAAACUCCUGGUCUUGAGUUCGAGAGAGGUGAGUGGAAUUCCGAGUGUAGAGGUGAAAUUCGUAGAUAUUCGGAGGAACACCAGUGGCGAAGGCGGCUCACUGGCUCGAUACUGACGCUGAGGUGCGAAAGCGUGGGGAGCAAACAGGAUU
This 250-nucleotide ribosomal RNA is filed under the name uncultured bacterium. Its description in RNAcentral is "partial 16S ribosomal RNA". It matches the Rfam family "Bacterial small subunit ribosomal RNA", at positions 528 to 779 of the family's 1533-position model. The record is from RNAcentral.